RNAcentral lists this Y RNA (109 nucleotides) under Callithrix jacchus (white-tufted-ear marmoset). RNAcentral describes it as "Y RNA (ENSCJAG00000038911.2)". It matches the Rfam family "Y RNA". From Rfam's summary of the family: Y RNAs are components of the Ro ribonucleoprotein particle (Ro RNP), in association with Ro60 and La proteins. The Y RNAs and Ro60 and La proteins are well conserved, but the function of the Ro RNP is not known. Lineage: Eukaryota; Metazoa; Chordata; Mammalia; Primates; Cebidae. The record is from Rfam by way of RNAcentral.
GGCUGGUCUGAAGGUAGCGAGUUAUCUCAGUUGAUUUUCAUAGUUAGUUACAGGUUGAACUCCUUGCUCCACUCUUUCCCUCCUCACUUCUGCACUUGAUGAAUCUUAA